Molecule: unclassified non-coding RNA, 149 nt
Filed under: soil metagenome
Description: partial internal transcribed spacer 1
Source: RNAcentral
CCGAGUUUACAACUCCCAAACCCCUGUGAACAUACCUACUUGUUGCCUCGGCGGAUCAGCCCGCGCCCGUAAAACGGGACGGCCCGCCAGAGGACCCCUAAACUCUGUUUCUAUAGUGGAACUUCUGAGUAAAACCAUAAAAUAAAUCA